AAUAUUGGACAAAGGGGGCAACCCUGCUCCACCCAUCCCGCGUGUUUGAAGAAGGUCUUCGGAUUGUAAAGCACUUUAAGUUGGGAGGAAGGGCUUUAGGUUAAUACCCUGAAGUUUUGACGUUACCAACAGAAUAAGCACCGGCUACCUUUGUUCCAUCAGCCGCGGUAAUACAGAGGGUGCAAGCGUUAAUCGGAAUUACUGGGCGUAAAGCGCGCGUAGGUGGUUCAGUAAGAUGGGUGUGAAAUCCCCGGGCUUAACCUGGGAACUGCUUUCAUAACUGCUGAGCUAGAGUACGGUAGAGGGUAGUGGAAUUUCCUGUGUAGCGGUGAAAUGCGUAGAUAUAGGAAGGAACACCAGUGGCGAAGGCGACUACCUGGACUGAUACUGACACUGAGGUGCGAAAGCGUGGGGAGCAAAC
Molecule: ribosomal RNA, 421 nt
Filed under: uncultured bacterium
Lineage: Bacteria
Description: partial 16S ribosomal RNA
Rfam family: Bacterial small subunit ribosomal RNA
Source: RNAcentral